UAUAAGGAGCCAGUUUAUUCCAAAAGAUGAUGACACACUUCCAACCAUUAAGGCUACAUAAAGGAUUUAUAAAUGCAGCAAUUAUUGCCGAUUUUUACAGAAAACUGGAGGGCUCAUCCUAAUGUGUUUCAUAUCUAAAUGGCUCCACUGACAGGAAUGGUCUCAUGGUAAUUUCAGUCUGAAUUUAGGCCUAUUCUUCUACUUGGGUUUUUUUUUCCCCAUUAACAAAUUAAGUUUCACACAGUACUGGAUUACAAAUCCAUCCAAACUCAACUUUAAACUAAUCUGCUAAGUACUCUUCCUCUACUUUUUUUUCCCCACUAUGAUAGCAAGUCGCUGUUUAGUAAAUUGGUGCAGGACAAUCAACAUUCAUGCUAUAAAUGGGAACAAGCGGCAGUAUUGUGGGCUGUCUACAUAUAUUCAUAGUGCUAAAUAAGAGCUAUUUAUUUUAGAAUGUAAAAACUAACAAUUCUAAUUAAUGUAUUAAAAAUCCACUAUUUAGUAACAUUAGGACUGACACCUCAUUAUAGUACACCAAUUUUUAUGGCCUUACGUCCAUUAAGUGAGGAACGUAUUCUAAUCAUAUCUUACUGUUAUGCCUGGAAAACAUAUACAUAUGUGGAAUUUUAAAGGAGAAACUACAUAUGUCCUCAUUAAAAGUAAAAAAUCUUCCUCUUUUCUGAACAAAUGUGCAAAAAAGUUUUUAUAUUGAAUUAGGAUGGUGGUUUUUUCCUUUUUCUGCAACAGUGUCAUUUUUAUGGUUAUUCUAUUACUGCUAGCCAUCUUAUACCACAGAAUAGUUAAUUUAUUUCUAACACUACUAUACAGUACUCUUGUAUUUCCCCCUUCAAACUGGAAAAUCUCACCCUGUAAAAAUAAUUCUAUGUAUGUUCUUCCAGUAGCUAUUAAUGUUUGUUUUCUAAAUCAGUCCAUAUGGCAUUACCAUUUCAAGAGUCGGUAUGUGGGUACUAUCUUCCCAUUACAAGUUAUCAAUUACAAAAAAUAACAUGCUUUAUAUUUAAAGUAUUAUAAUCUUUCAUUUUUGCUCGUUACAUUUUUUCUGUCUAUGCAACUGUAGCAUAGUCAUUGCUCUGGUCUUUUUUUUUCACUUUCCUGUGGGCUGGUGAUUGUCACCCUUGGAGUUGUGGAUGUUUUUUCAAGAUGGGAAUCAGUCU
RNAcentral lists this long non-coding RNA (1175 nucleotides) under Strigops habroptila (Kakapo). RNAcentral's name for it is "lncRNA (ENSSHBG00005000072.1)". Lineage: Eukaryota; Metazoa; Chordata; Aves; Psittaciformes; Psittacidae. The record is from RNAcentral.